UGUAUAAAUACCAAUAGAAAUUGGACAUUAAGAUUUACUAAAUUAAAUAAUGAAAAGUUAAACAUUUACGUUGAAAUUAAUGAUAUCAAUGGGGAUAUGCCAAAGAUAAUAUAAAAUCACAAAAUAAACUACACGAAACUGACCACAAAACGGCCUGAUUGGAUUCUAUCGUUCCAGUCUGAUAUACAGUUUCUAACUCAUAAUUGCAAGGCCAACUAUAUUGUAGAUAUAGAUCUCUUGAAGUAUUUGUAAAGCAAUGUUUGAACAUUGGGUCAUGUCGGGGAGCUCGUUUCUCAGUGUUGUUAUCAUCAGUCAUCUGACACUAAGUGACAGGCUGCGGUUGUUAGCUAGCAGUCCAGCUAAGUCCAAUUUGUGCAUUAUGAUGUAGUUCUUUUUAGGUUUUUGUUUUCCAGUAGAAUAUUAUAUUAGAAACCCCUACUAUAUGUGAAGUGCACUGGUGAUGAACAUAGUAAUGGAAUUCUACGUAAACAACAAUAGGGAGACGAGCGCUCGGCGGAAAUGGAGUCCCUAGAGAAGGCAAGAACAAGAUGGGUGUCAGGAGUGGGGCAGCAGUAUUAUCACAAGGAGACGUAUACUUGGAAAACGGAGGAGGAAUGGAGGGAAAAAGAGAGGGCUUGUGUCGGAUAAAAAUUGUGGGAAAGGGGAGAUGGUUUGUUAAAUAAGAAUGGUAGAAAGUGUAAGCAGGGUGAGCUGAAGACAGGAGGAGAAAUGGAAGUGAAUAAGUGUGAAGUAUCCUAUGUGGUAGGUUCGGUGAAGUUAUUGUAUGCCGAGGUAUGCACCGAGGAUCAGGAUGAAGAAGAGUGACAGAGUGAAUUUUAUGGAAAAAAAGCCUACCCUUCCCUUUUUGCUGAUCCAUUUGUGGUUUCACGGUGGGUGAAAAAAAGAGUUGGGCGAUGGUAACUAGAAGUGGUCUAGUGAUAACUGUGUUUUUGUGAGGCAGAGGGAGAAUACGCUUGGAGUAAAACUAAUGAGGGCAAGAAAAGUGAAUUGUUUCGUUCUCAAGAAAAGGGCACAAAUGAAAGGAGUGAUAACAUGGGUAGCAGUAAAUAUAAAAGUUGACCAGCUGAGGGGAAAGAUUCCCGGUGUAUGUGAUCGUCAUUUGAUGCGACGCAAACAGGGUGGGGAAACGGAAGUCAUUGUCUGUUUUUUUGAAGUUGAGUCUUUGCCCGAUAAAGUUUGGAUAUAUAAGUAAUCCUGUACGAGCGAUGUGCCGAAUACAUUACGACGUUACAGGUGUCAAGUUUAUGGGUAUGUGGCAGCAGUGUGUAGGAGGGAGGGUCCAAGGUGUGAGAAAUGUGCAGAAGGGCAUGAGACAAAGGAAUGUGUAGUAUGGGGGAAAGUCGCGGAAUGUGUUAAUUGUUGGUGUGCCCAUGGAGCUGGGGAUCAGAAAUGUCCCUUGCGAGGGAGACAUGGUUGAGGUUUCCAGGGUUAGAGUAGUGCAUUAGUUGUCACAUUGUACUGAAGGGAUGGAUCGGAAGUCUCGGGAAAAUUGAGGUUGUGGUGGCAGCUGCAGAGAGGUAUUUGGGUGUGCUAGACUUGACAUCAGAAGAGUUACCGGGUGUGUUAAGUGGUGACGUCCCAUCCUUUCAGGGUGAUGGCAUGAGGUAGGAAUAAAUACAUAGGGUGGUGUUCAUUUAAUUUUAUAUCAUUUUGAAAUUAGUGAGUGUAGUGUUAGAUGGUAGGGUAUUUAUUUAGUACAUUUGUAUUUUUCAAGCAAAGUAUAAUGGAGUUGUACUCCAGUCUAGUAGAUGGCGGUAAUGAAACACAUUGGCUGUCAACCGCUGUUAAACCUCAGAAGAAGUAAACAACAAUAUGUCUGGACCAAAUGGAGAUCCUAACAUCUCAACUGAUGAUGGCAUCACCGACAAUGAAGAUUAAUUCAGAGUAUGUAGCCAUCAACACUGCUGGAUCAGAUCAACUCCUGCCUGGAUGACCUGGAGGAACGCAACGACUCACUGAAUGACCAACUACAUGAACUGUUGGAAUCUAACUGGCAGGCCUGGCAGGAGUUCAGAGUUCAGCUGAGCACCGCUACACCCCCAGGAGAGGA
Long non-coding RNA from Oncorhynchus tshawytscha (Chinook salmon), 2071 nucleotides. RefSeq lists it as uncharacterized. The record is from RefSeq and is a predicted model, not a curated record. Lineage: Eukaryota; Metazoa; Chordata; Actinopteri; Salmoniformes; Salmonidae. The transcript has 3 exons.